RNAcentral lists this ribosomal RNA (246 nucleotides) under uncultured bacterium. RNAcentral describes it as "partial small subunit ribosomal RNA". It matches the Rfam family "Bacterial small subunit ribosomal RNA", at positions 26 to 286 of the family's 1533-position model. The record is from RNAcentral.
AGAAUCAACGCUGGCGGCGUGCCUAACACAUGCAAGUCGCACGAGAAAGUGGAGCAAUCCACGAGUAAAGUGGCGCACGGGUGAGUAACACGUGAAUAAUCUACCUCCGAGUGGGGAAUAACUGAGAGAAAUCUUAGCUAAUACCGCAUAAUACCCACGGGUCAAAGCAGCAAUGCGCUUGGAGAGGAGUUCGCGGCCGAUUAGCUAGUUGGCGGGGUAAUGGCCCACCAAGGCGAUGAUCGGUAU